GCCGGCUUUCGGGCCGGCUAUGGCGAUAAAUGAGCGGUGUAAUAAACCUAUUGGACCCGGGGGCGGUACCCGGCGCCUCCACCA
Molecule: transfer-messenger RNA, 84 nt
Filed under: Rhizobium leguminosarum bv. trifolii WSM1325
Lineage: Bacteria; Pseudomonadati; Pseudomonadota; Alphaproteobacteria; Hyphomicrobiales; Rhizobiaceae
Also listed under: 1 other name
Description: transfer-messenger RNA Rhizo_legum_WSM132
Rfam family: Alphaproteobacteria transfer-messenger RNA
About the family: Bacterial tmRNA, also known as 10Sa RNA or SsrA, is named for its dual tRNA and mRNA-like properties. Its role is to liberate the mRNA from a stalled ribosome.
Source: RNAcentral